This 465-nucleotide ribosomal RNA is filed under the name uncultured bacterium. RNAcentral's name for it is "partial 16S ribosomal RNA". It matches the Rfam family "Bacterial small subunit ribosomal RNA", at positions 338 to 795 of the family's 1533-position model. The record is from RNAcentral.
CCUACGGGCGGCAGCAGUGGGGAAUUUUGCGCAAUGCUCGUAAGAGUGACGCAGCGACGCCGCGUGAAUGACGAAGGCCUUCGGGACGUAAAGUUCUUUCAACAGGGAAGAAAAUGCAUAUAAGUAACUGUGUAUGUAUUGACGGUACCUGUAUAAGCAGCGCCGGCUAACUCCGUGCCAGCAGCCGCGGUAAUACGGAGGGGGCGAGAGUUGUCCGGAGUGACUGGGCGUAAAGAGCACGUAGGCGGUGUUGUAAGUCAUUAGUCAAAGACUAGAGCUCAACCGUAGUAAGGCUGGUGAUACUAUAAUGCUAGAGUACAAGAGAGGAUUGCAGAAUUCCUGGUGUAGCGGUGAAAUGCGUAGAUAUCAGGAGGAAUACCGUUAGCGAAGGCGGCAAUCUGGCUGGAAACUGACGCUGAGGUGCGAAAGCGUGGGUAGCAAACAGGAUUAGAUACCCUGGUAGUC